UACGGAAGGGGCAAGCGUUGUUCGGAAUCAUUGGGCGUAAAGCGCACGUAGGCGGAUUGCUAAGUCAGGGGUGAAAUCCUGGAGCUCAACUCCAGAACUGCCUUUGAUACUGGCGACCUUGAGUCCGGGAGAGGUGAGUGGAACUGCGAGUGUAGAGGUGAAAUUCGUAGAUAUUCGCAAGAACACCAGUGGCGAAGGCGGCUCACUGGACAUGUAUUGACGCUGAGGUGCGAAAGCGUGGGGAGCAAACAGG
Molecule: ribosomal RNA, 253 nt
Filed under: uncultured bacterium
Lineage: Bacteria
Description: partial 16S ribosomal RNA
Rfam family: Bacterial small subunit ribosomal RNA
Source: RNAcentral